RNAcentral lists this long non-coding RNA (923 nucleotides) under Nicotiana benthamiana. RNAcentral describes it as "long non-coding RNA (NBEN_LNC032866)". The record is from RNAcentral. Lineage: Eukaryota; Viridiplantae; Streptophyta; Magnoliopsida; Solanales; Solanaceae.
AUAAAAAGACUUUCGAAUAUAUACUAUAUGAACUUCUUUACGUUCGAGUAUGCGCAAAUAUUUGAUACUUGCAUGGUCAAAUGUAGGCUUUAAUUUAUGGGUACAGCAAAACUCAAUAAUGUUUGUCAAAAAAUUCUCUGUAUGUAUCACGAAAUUCACUAAGUAUAUACAUAAAUUAAAUUCAGGCCUCAAUUAUUAAAACUUGAGAUUGUCCUAAAAUCAAGAACCCACAGAAUUUUAAUGUUAGAUCUAUACCUUUGUAGGUACCGAGCACGUAAAUUUUGGGGCCUAUGGCACUGGCCUUACUUGUGAUUAGGUAAGAGCCGACCCAGAACAACAAAAAUUAUAUAACAUGUUUAAGAUCACUGUAAAUUUUGGGGCUAUGGCACUGGCCUUACUUGUGAUUAGGUAAGAGCCGACUAGAACAACAAAAAUUAUAUAACAUGUUUAAGAUCACAGAUUUUAACGAUUUUAUAGCCAUUGUGCUCAGUCACCAGUCAAAUACGUUCACAUAACUUGAAAGAGAUAGAGUAUAAGUUAGAUAAAUUUAAUUGUUAAAAUCUGAUAUGAAAAGGAGGCCUAAAAUUAAUCAUCUAUGAAAACUUACCAGGGCAAGUGAAAAGAGCAGGAUAAGAGCAACAGGCAGUUUCAUGGUCACUUCACUAUGAAUAUGUAUGACUCAGAAGCUAUUGUUAUUGGUCUUUGCUUGAAGCAUAUUAUGGGUUUAUAUAGAUAGGUUAAGCUAUUAUGAAAUCACAUUGUAGGUAACAAGUUUGUCAAGCUUCAACAUGAUUCACACACUCACGAGAGACGUACAAUUAUCAUAUACAAAUAUGAGAAGGCCCCAGGCCCCCAACUAGCUUCUUUGGCACAUAUAUUAAUGGUGACCCAAUAACUUAAGUAGGCUCCAUUUGCUAAAAAAU